Homo sapiens (human) is the source of this 403-nucleotide long non-coding RNA. RefSeq lists it as uncharacterized. The transcript has 3 exons. The record is from RefSeq and is a predicted model, not a curated record. Lineage: Eukaryota; Metazoa; Chordata; Mammalia; Primates; Hominidae.
CUUCUUUUACUUCAUCAUGGCCUCAAAGCACGAGAGUAGUGAUGCUGACAAUUUGGAUAUACCAAAGAGAAGCUGUAAAAUGCUUCCUUUCAGUGAAAAAGUGAAAGUUCUACAUUUAAUAAGAUGUCUUCUACGAACAUUUGUUUCCCAAACCAGAGAAACCCUUAUUCACUCAUUAACCAUUGGGAUUUUUGUUCAAAGGCCCAUGAAUUAUUGCUACUUUAAAUUUGCAAGCAAAUUUAUAAUUGGAUCCUGAUGUCCCAGCACCCAUAAAUAUUUUAUAAUAAUUGUACAAACAACACUUACAUUAAGGACAUGAACGAUUAAAAUAGGGAGACCCCCAUCUCUACCAAAAAAUAGGAAGAAGAAGAAGAAGAAGAAGAAGAAGAAGAAGAAGAAGAAG